AAGACUGGGAUAACUUCGGGAAACCGGAGCUAAUGCCGGAUAACAUUUGGAACCGCAUGGUUCUAAAGUAAAAGAUGGUUUUGCUAUCACUUAUAGAUGGACCCGCGCCGUAUUAGCUAGUUGGUAAGGUAACGGCUUACCAAGGCAACGAUACGUAGCCGACCUGAGAGGGUGAUCGGCCACACUGGAACUGAGACACGGUCCAGACUCCUACGGGAGGCAGCAGUAGGGAAUCUUCCGCAAUGGACGAAAGUCUGACGGAGCAACGCCGCGUGAGUGAUGAAGGUUUUCGGAUCGUAAAACUCUGUUAUUAGGGAAGAACAAAUGUGUAAGUAACUGUGCACAUCUUGACGGUACCUAAUCAGAAAGCCACGGCUAACUACGUGCCAGCAGCCGCGGUAAUACGUAGGUGGCAAGCGUUAUCCGGAAUUAUUGGGCGUAAAGCGCGCGUAGGCGGUUUCUUAAGUCUGAUGUGAAAGCCCACGGCUCAACCGUGGAGGGUCAUUGGAAACUGGGAAACUUGAGUACAGAAGAGGAAAGUGGAAUUCCAUGUGUAGCGGUGAAAUGCGCAGAGAUAUGGAGGAACACCAGUGGCGAAGGCGACUUUCUGGUCUGUAACUGACGCUGAUGUGCGAAAGCGUGGGGAUCAAACAGGAUUAGAUACCCUGGUAGUCCACGCCGUAAACGAUGAGUGCUAAGUGUUAGGGGGUCUCCGCCCCUUAGUGCUGCAGCUAACGCAUUAAGCACUCCGCCUGGGGAGUACGACCGCAAGGUUGAAACUCAAGA
Molecule: ribosomal RNA, 786 nt
Filed under: uncultured Staphylococcus sp.
Lineage: Bacteria; Bacillati; Bacillota; Bacilli; Caryophanales; Staphylococcaceae
Description: bacterial SSU rRNA
Rfam family: Bacterial small subunit ribosomal RNA
Source: RNAcentral